UGAAGUUAGAGAAUUGGGGGAAAGAAGAGGAACUUCAAGUUUGGAUGCCCAAGGCUGAGAAGGUUGGUAGGGAUUCAAGGGGGAUGCUUGGACUACAUUACCUUUGGCUGGGGAUCUUGGCAUUCUAAAAUAGAUGUGUUCUGCGGUAAAGAAAUUCAUGAGAAGCAUGUCAAGAACCUAAUGAAUUCAUGAGAAGAAUGUAACGGUGGAGAAAUUCAUGUACUCUCACGCAAGCCAAAUGUUACAAUUCUUUUUUUGGUAAAGGCUUGGACA
Rosa chinensis is the source of this 273-nucleotide long non-coding RNA. RefSeq lists it as uncharacterized. The transcript is spliced from 3 exons. The record is from RefSeq and is a predicted model, not a curated record. NCBI's taxonomy places the organism in Eukaryota, Viridiplantae, Streptophyta, Magnoliopsida, Rosales, Rosaceae.